UACGUGGGGUGCAAGCGUUGUUCGGAAUUACUGGGCGUAAAGCGCGUGUAGGCGGCCUGUUAAGUCUGACGUGAAAUCCCUGGGCUCAACCCAGGAACUGCAUCGGAAACUGACAGGCUAGAGUCCGGGAGAGGGUAGCGGAAUUCCUGGUGUAGAGGUGAAAUUCGUAGAUAUCAGGAGGAACACCGGUGGCGAAGGCGGCUACCUGGACCGGUACUGACGCUGAGACGCGAAAGCGUGGGGAGCAAACAGGAUUAGAUACCCUGGUAGUCCACGCUGUAAACGAUGAGCGCUAGUUGUCACGGGUAUUGACCCCUGUGGUGACGCAGGUAACCCAUUAAGCGCUCCGCCUGGGGAGUACGGCCGCAAGACUAAA
This 376-nucleotide ribosomal RNA is filed under the name uncultured bacterium. RNAcentral describes it as "bacterial SSU rRNA". It matches the Rfam family "Bacterial small subunit ribosomal RNA", at positions 524 to 898 of the family's 1533-position model. The record is from RNAcentral.